UACAGAGGUGGCAAGCGUUGUUCGGAAUUACUGGGCGUAAAGGGCGCGUAGGCGGUCCCGUCAGUCCCUUGUGAAAUCCCCCGGCUCAACUGGGGAACUGCAAGGGAUACAGCGGGGCUUGAGUUCGGGAGAGGGAAGCGGAAUUCCGGGUGUAGCGGUGAAAUGCGUAGAUAUCUGGAGGAACACCGGUGGCGAAGGCGGCGUUCUGGACUGCAACUGACACUGAGAGACGAAAGCCAGGGGAGCAAACGGG
Molecule: ribosomal RNA, 253 nt
Filed under: uncultured bacterium
Lineage: Bacteria
Description: partial 16S ribosomal RNA
Rfam family: Bacterial small subunit ribosomal RNA
Source: RNAcentral